AGAGUUUGAUCCUGGCUCAGGACGAACGCUGGCGGCGUGCCUAACACAUGCAAGUCGAGCGAAGUGCUUGGAGAUGAUUUCUUCGGACUGAUUCACCAAGUAUCUUAGCGGCGGACGGGUGAGUAACGCGUGAGAAACCUGCCUUUCACAAAGGGAUAGCCUCGGGAAACUGGGAUUAAUACCUUAUGAAACUGUAUUACCGCAUGGUAGAACAGUCAAAGCGCUUAAGCGGUGAGAGAUGGUCUCGCGUCCCAUUAGCUAGUUGGUGAGAUAAAAGCCCACCAAGGCGACGAUGGGUAGCCGGCCUGAGAGGGUGGGCGGUCACACUGGGACUGAGAUACGGCCCAGACUCCUACGGGAGGCAGCAGUGGGGGAUUUUGCACAAUGGGCGCAAGCUUGAUGCAGCGACGCCGCGUGAGGGAUGAGGGCCUUCGGGUUGUAAACCUCUUUCGCUGGGUUGAGAGGCCAUGCUUUGGGUGUGGUUGAUUUGAACCGGUAAAGAAGUACCGGCUAACUACGUGCCAGCCGCCGCGGUAAUAC
Molecule: ribosomal RNA, 540 nt
Filed under: uncultured Soehngenia sp.
Lineage: Bacteria; Bacillati; Bacillota; Tissierellia; Tissierellales; Tissierellaceae
Description: bacterial SSU rRNA
Rfam family: Bacterial small subunit ribosomal RNA
Source: RNAcentral